Molecule: transfer RNA, 94 nt
Filed under: Caudoviricetes sp.
Lineage: Duplodnaviria; Heunggongvirae; Uroviricota; Caudoviricetes
Description: tRNA-Ser
Rfam family: tRNA
About the family: Transfer RNA (tRNA) molecules are approximately 80 nucleotides in length. Their secondary structure includes four short double-helical elements and three loops (D, anti-codon, and T loops). Further hydrogen bonds mediate the characteristic L-shaped molecular structure. tRNAs have two regions of fundamental functional importance: the anti-codon, which is responsible for specific mRNA codon recognition, and the 3' end, to which the tRNAs corresponding amino acid is attached (by aminoacyl-tRNA synthetases). tRNAs cope with the degeneracy of the genetic code in two manners: having more than one tRNA (with a specific anti-codon) for a particular amino acid; and 'wobble' base-pairing, i.e. permitting non-standard base-pairing at the 3rd anti-codon position.
Source: RNAcentral
GGAGCAAUACUCAAGCUGGUAUAAGAGGCGUCCCUGCUAAGGACGUAGGGUGGUUUAUCCCGCCGCGUGGGUUCGAAUCCCACUUGCUCCGCCA